UACGAAGGGGCUAGCGUUGCUCGGAAUCACUGGGCGUAAAGGGUGCGUAGGCGGGUCUUUAAGUCAGGGUGAAAUCCUGGAGCUCAACUCCAGAACUGCCUUUGAUACUGAAGAUCUUGAGUUCGGGAGAGGUGAGUGGAACUGCGAGUGUAGAGGUGAAAUUCGUAGAUAUUCGCAAGAACACCGACGGCGCAGGCAGCGUCCUGGCCGCUUGCUGACACUGAGGCACGAAAGCUGGGGAGCAAACAGG
This 250-nucleotide ribosomal RNA is filed under the name uncultured bacterium. Its description in RNAcentral is "partial 16S ribosomal RNA". It matches the Rfam family "Bacterial small subunit ribosomal RNA", at positions 524 to 776 of the family's 1533-position model. The record is from RNAcentral.